UACAGAGGGGGCAAGCGUUAUUCGGAAUUAUUGGGCGUAAAGGGCGCGUAGGCGGCUUUGCAAGUGGCGGGUGAAAUCCCUCGGCUUAACCGAGGAACUGCCUGCCAGACUGUGAGGCUCGAGACCGGGAGAGGUGAGUGGAAUUCCCAGUGUAGCGGUGAAAUGCGUAGAUAUUGGGAGGAACACCAGUGGCGAAGGCGGUCAGCUGGUCCGUUACUGACACUAAAGCACGAAAGCGUGGGUAGCAAACAGG
Molecule: ribosomal RNA, 253 nt
Filed under: uncultured bacterium
Lineage: Bacteria
Description: partial 16S ribosomal RNA
Rfam family: Bacterial small subunit ribosomal RNA
Source: RNAcentral